GAUGAUCACCCUCAGGUUGAAAAAUUUGGCCCCUCUAUAUCAAUAUCAGCAGCAAAACUCUUGCAGGCAUCAGCAAUGGGCCGGUAGCCAGUGCACCGACAAAGGUUUCCCGCUAUGGCAUUUUCAGCUUCAGAUGAAGUAAGCUUAGAGAAUCCUGGUGGAGGAUCGGGUUUAUUUCCUUUAUCAGCGUUGACGAGAGCUGAGAAAAGUGAC
This 213-nucleotide unclassified non-coding RNA is filed under the name Hevea brasiliensis (rubber tree). The record is from RNAcentral. Lineage: Eukaryota; Viridiplantae; Streptophyta; Magnoliopsida; Malpighiales; Euphorbiaceae.